AGUGAACGCUGGCGGUAGGCCUAACACAUGCAAGUCGAACGGCAGCACAGUAAGAGCUUGCUCUUACGGGUGGCGAGUGGCGGACGGGUGAGGAAUACAUCGGAAUCUACUUUUUCGUGGGGGAUAACGUAGGGAAACUUACGCUAAUACCGCAUACGACCUACGGGUGAAAGCAGGGGAUCUUCGGACCUUGCGCGAUUGAAUGAGCCGAUGUCGGAUUAGCUAGUUGGCGGGGUAAGGGCCCACCAAGGCGACGAUCCGUAGCUGGUCUGAGAGGAUGAUCAGCCACACUGGAACUGAGACACGGUCCAGAGUCCUACGGGAGGCAGCAGUGGGGAAUAGUGGACAAUGGGCGCAAGCCUGAUCCAGCCAUACCGCGUGGGUGAAGAAGGCCUUCGGGUUGUAAAGCCCUUUUGUUGGGAAAGAAAAGCAGCAGGUUAAUACCCCGCUGUUCUGACGGUACCCAAAGAAUAAGCACCGGCUAACUUCGUG
Molecule: ribosomal RNA, 492 nt
Filed under: uncultured bacterium
Lineage: Bacteria
Description: partial 16S ribosomal RNA
Rfam family: Bacterial small subunit ribosomal RNA
Source: RNAcentral